Long non-coding RNA from Cydia strobilella, 2595 nucleotides. RefSeq lists it as uncharacterized. NCBI's taxonomy places the organism in Eukaryota, Metazoa, Arthropoda, Insecta, Lepidoptera, Tortricidae. The transcript is spliced from 2 exons. The record is from RefSeq and is a predicted model, not a curated record.
UAGUUACGGUCACUGCGCGGAAAACGUCGUCUGGAAAACUCGCACCGCAUCCAUCCGCCCACAGAUGGCGCCCCAUCCGCUCGGCUCAUAUAAGCGAGCGCUCGCGCACCGCCGCACUGCCCGGCCGACUCCCGCGCCACCAACGCGUACCGCGAGUGUAGUGACAUGGAUAUACUCUCCUUGGACCCGACUGGACUUUAUUAAAAAAAAUGGCUGUCCUUGAUCCUACCGGCCAGUACUAAACAUAAUCCUCGACCCCACUGGACAGUAUUAGAGCAUCAUGAUCGGGCUAGACCCCACAGAAAUUUACUAAUCCCCCCAAAAUGUGCUGCGGGCGGCGGAGGAUCUGGACGGGAUCCAGUCCGGAAGAGACAUCGUCGUGCAGAAAAAGAAGGUUUCGGCACUAAGGUCGGAAAUGGGUUCCGUCACCUGCGAAGGAAUGCAGUGUAGAUUUCCCGUCUGCAAGCCGCCCCCGUAUCCAAUACUCACUACGUUUAUAUUACGACUGAUAUACUAUAGUGCACAUAUCCUUCAAGCAUUUUGUAUUUUUAUAUAAAUUAUUGUAGAUAUAUACGUUGUAGAAACCAAUAGGAACAUAACUUUAAAAUGUAAAAUAUAACUAUUAACACCCUUGAUACGUACGUUUUUAAUUAUGUUUUUUUGUUAAUUAAUAAUUUUCUUUUUUCAUUCUUUGAGAGAAAAUAUAAUUUCAUAUCAUUUAAAGAUAAUUUCUUAUUUGUUUUAAAAUUAAACAUAAUCUCAGUAAUAUCUAACUACAUUAAGAAAAUUUCAAGACAAGCAAUAAGAGGCAAAAAGGUUAUUUUUGAAAGGUUUUCUUCGCCCAUUGUACAUUAUUUGAGAGGCCUUCAAAAACCCGUUUUUUAUGUACAGAUUUGUAGUUUUAAUUGUAGUUUUACUAGAUUUCCACUCAAAUGUAUACCUACGUCGUCCUGCAUGAUUGGAGUUACCAUGUAUUUCCGCUUUUAAAAUGUAAAUAAUGCUUUGAAUCCCUAGUGCUUGAAAAUAUAAGCACCCAUUUUGCUCGAAAAAGUACCAAUUUUGAAGAUACUUACCCAUAAGGUAAAAAAAAUUGCAGUUCACAUUUCUGCGAUAUUUUAUCUACUCUGCGAUAUUUUAUCACCUUAUCGACCUUGACAUCGAUUUUCAAAUCAAUUUAUUUUCGAUAUGUUAAUAACAAAACGUUCUUAGUUUAAAAUGUAUUUAACAAUAUUAAUAACUAUUUUCAGGUAUAUUAUAACAUGUAUAACCAAUCCUAUUACUUAUAUGAUUAUUUAGGUACUAUUUUGUGACUGAAAAUGGUAGUUAAUAAGUCACAAGCACGCAUCCAAUUGUUAUAACUACUAGACUUUAAAAUACAUAGAACGUUUUCUUUCGAUCUAACAAUAAACUAUAUACCCCUAACAGUGUCUAUCAAUUAUAGAAAUAUAGUGAGCUUGCUAUGCUUUUAUUAAUUUAUCUUUAUAUUGUAGAUAAUUAAGAUAAGACUGCUUAAAGUUAAUUUGUCUUUUAAGACUGAUGCGAAUUUGAAGAACCAUUUUCGAUACUCGAGAUUUAGCUCUGUUUUAAUUAAAUACUCUGUGUAGCGAUAUUCUCAAGCCUUGCCGAGUGUUGGUAAAUGUAUCAUUUAAAUGACCAGUGUCUGUGAGCUUUUAAUUCGUAUCAAGUGUGCGUAAUCUAAGAGCGCUUUAUAUUGGUUCUAAACGUUAGACGUGCUUGCGUUAGGUUUUGGAAUAACCCGCACAAUGAAUAGAGUACAGUCGAGAACAUUAGAUAAAUCUCAAAUAUUUUUAGAAUUGGUUACUUUGGGCUCAAGAAGAGUAGCGAUAUGGCUGAGGUAUCAAUAUUAAUGUUAUGUAUCUCUUUAAUCUAGUAAUAUUAAUAUAAUUGAAACUAUAUUAUAAGUAAGGUCAGGAGGGCAAAACAUACGUAGUAGUACAUUUUGCAAAGGACAAAAACAACAGUACAGUAGUUACAUUUCAAUGCAAGUGUGGAAAGUGUGUUAUUAAUUACGAGUCCCGAGGCACGGGACAAGUAAUUAAUGACACUUUCAGACGUACAUAUUGAACAACGUUUUUUAAUACAUUUGCGAAAAAAUCACAAUAAAACAAAUAUUGGUUACAUGCAUGAGUAUUACUUACAGUUACGAACUUUCCCUUGAACUUGAAUGAUAUGAUAUGAUAUUGUUUUAUAAGCACUAUAAACAACGUUCAGCGUUGAUUUACAUUGCAAAAAUUAAUCACAUUUUUUUUGUUAACGACAGCCAGCGUGGCAAUGAUAGUUCCGUUCAGCCAAAUAAAAAAAAAUAAAAAAAUUGCCGCCUCUUUCUACUGACAAAGUGGGUUUGCCAGAGUAUUAUUCGCUGAUUUUAUAUUUGUAAACAUUUGAUUUAAGAGUUAGCGAUUAAAGAAGUAUGCGAGUGAUACCGCAGCCAUAUUGCUUGAGUAUGUUUGUAGGCCGCUAUAUCAUUACUAUAUGGCCGAGGAAGUAUCCCACCCUAGCAUAAUAUUAUUUUUAUCAUUAGUUUUGUCGUAAACCUGGUGAGUAAUAAAGAUGUUUUAUAUUAUUUUCUAUAAA